Molecule: small RNA, 858 nt
Filed under: Pongo abelii (Sumatran orangutan)
Lineage: Eukaryota; Metazoa; Chordata; Mammalia; Primates; Hominidae
Description: retained intron
Source: RNAcentral
GGCAUGGCGGGUACACUGUGAAUGUCAGCCCAGAAGGUAAUCAGAGCAUGUUAAUUCAAAUAGAAAGAAGACAGAAGGGAAGGUAGACAUCAGGUUCUCCCUGGAGACUUUUCGUUUUCAUUUACGCUGCGGAAACUGACGUUUUUGCCUAACACGCCAUGUAAUGUAAACGUAUAGGCUUGAGUACGUGUCCGGCCGCAUGUGUAGUGAACCCUAAAGCUUUCCUAAUUGUAGUUAGCAUCGUCCCUAAGCGGAACGAUUUUCUGUGAACAUGAUUUGUACUUUUCUACGAGCCGUACAGUAUACGGAGAAGCUGCACAGGUCCUUGGCAAAGCGAUUGCUUUUGCCACACAUCGUGCUUAACAAAGCGUGCUUGAAGACUGAGCCCAGUUUGAGAUGUAGGCUUCAAUAUCAAAAGAAAACGGUGCUACCUAGAUGUAUUCUUGGAGUCACCCAGAAAACCAUUUGGACGCAGGGACCGAGCCCCGGAAAAGCAAAGGAGGAUAGCAGCAAACAAGUGUCUGUGCACAGGAGUCAGAGAGGGGGAACCGCCGUCCCAACAUCACAAAAAGUGAAAGAAGCUGGAAGAGAUUUUACCUAUUUAAUAGUGGUGCUUUUUGGAAUCAGCAUUACAGGUUGCAAAAAACAGCAAGUAUAAGCUCUUGAAUAUUUUUUAAGCUGGCCUUUUUAUGUUGCCCUUGCUUUGCUUCAUCUUUGUUUUGUGUGAUUUCAGGUGGCUUGUUUUACACGAUUUUCAAAGAACUUUUUUCUUCAUCCAGUCCUAGCAAGAUAUAUGGGAGAGCCUUAGAAAAAUGCAGAUCACAUCCUGAGGUGAUCGGUGUCUUUGGUGAGUCUAUU